RNAcentral lists this ribosomal RNA (329 nucleotides) under uncultured eukaryote. RNAcentral describes it as "partial 18S ribosomal RNA". It matches the Rfam family "Eukaryotic small subunit ribosomal RNA", at positions 1470 to 1796 of the family's 1831-position model. The record is from RNAcentral.
CCCUUAGAUGUUCUGGGCCGCACGCGCGCUACACUGACGAUGGCAACGAGUUUUUCCUUCGCCGAAAGGUGUGGGUAAUCUUUUGAAACAUCGUCGUGCUGGGGAUAGAUCAUUGCAAUUUUUGAUCUUGAACGAGGAAUUCCUAGUAAGCGCGAGUCAUCAGCUCGCGUUGAUUACGUCCCUGCCCUUUGUACACACCGCCCGUCGCUACUACCGAUUGAAUGGUUUAGUGAGGACUCCUGAUUGGCGCCGCCGCCCCGGCAACGGAGCAGCGGACUGCCGAAAAGUUGUUAAAACUUGAUCAUUUAGAGGAAGUAAAAGUCGUAACA